UCUUGGUCAUUUAGAGGAAGUAAAAGUCGUAACAAGGUCUCCGUAGGUGAACCUGCGGAGGGAUCAUUACACAAAUAUGAAGGCGGGCUGGAACCUCUCGGGGUUACAGCCUUGCUGAAUUAUUCACCCUUGUCUUUUGCGUACUUCUUGUUUCCUUGGUGGGUUCGCCCACCACUAGGACAAACAUAAACCUUUUGUAAUUGCAAUCAGCGUCAGUAACAAAUUAAUAAUUACAACUUUCAACAACGGAUCUCUUGGUUCUGGCAUCGAUGAAGAACGCAGCGAAAUGCGAUAAGUAGUGUGAAUUGCAGAAUUCAGUGAAUCAUCGAAUCUUUGAACGCACAUUGCGCCCUUUGGUAUUCCAAAGGGCAUGCCUGUUCGAGCGUCAUUUGUACCCUCAAGCUUUGCUUGGUGUUGGGCGUCUUGUCUCUAGCUUUGCUGGAGACUCGCCUUAAAGUAAUUGGCAGCCGGCCUACUGGUUUCGGAGCGCAGCACAAGUCGCACUCUCUAUCAGCAAAGGUCUAGCAUCCAUUAAGCCUUUUUUUCAACUUUUGACCUCGGAUCAGG
This 567-nucleotide ribosomal RNA is filed under the name Alternaria sp. JJP-2009a. RNAcentral's name for it is "eukaryotic LSU rRNA". The stretch from base 235 to 388 matches the Rfam family "5.8S ribosomal RNA". The record is from RNAcentral. Lineage: Eukaryota; Fungi; Ascomycota; Dothideomycetes; Pleosporales; Pleosporaceae.